This 445-nucleotide ribosomal RNA is filed under the name uncultured Alphaproteobacteria bacterium. Its description in RNAcentral is "bacterial SSU rRNA". It matches the Rfam family "Bacterial small subunit ribosomal RNA", at positions 36 to 530 of the family's 1533-position model. The record is from RNAcentral. Lineage: Bacteria; Pseudomonadati; Pseudomonadota; Alphaproteobacteria.
ACCUGGCGGCAGGCCUAACCUGCAAGUCGAGCGCGCCUUCGGGUGAGCGGCGGACGGGUUAGUAACGCGUGGGAACGUACCCUUCUCUACGGAAUAGCCUUUGGAAACGAAGAGUAAUACCCGUAUACGCCCUUUGGGGGAAAGAUUUAUCGGAGAAGGAUCGGCCCGCGUUAGAUUAGAUAGUUGGUGGGGUAACGGCCUACCAAGUCUACGAUCUAUAGCUGGUUUUAGAGGAUGAUCAGCAACACUGGGACUGAGACACGGCCCAGACUCCUACGGGAGGCAGCAGUGGGGAAUCUUAGACAAUGGGCGCAAGCCUGAUCUAGCCAUGCCGCGUGAGUGAUGAAGGCCUUAGGGUCGUAAAGCUCUUUCGCCUGUGAUGAUAAUGACAGUAGCAGGUAAAGAAACCCCGGCUACUCCGUGCCACAGCCGCGGUAAUACGGAG